RNAcentral lists this ribosomal RNA (233 nucleotides) under uncultured bacterium. Its description in RNAcentral is "partial 16S ribosomal RNA". It matches the Rfam family "Bacterial small subunit ribosomal RNA", at positions 118 to 350 of the family's 1533-position model. The record is from RNAcentral.
UGAGCAACCUGACCCCUGACUCUGGGAUAACCCCGGGAAACCGGAGCUAAUACCGGAUACGACACGCGAAGGCAUCUUCUGCGUGUAGAAAGAUUUAUCGGUCAGGGAUGGGCUCGCGGCCUAUCAGCUUGUUGGUGGGGUAACGGCCCACCAAGGCGACGACGGGUAGCCGGCCUGAGAGGGCGACCGGCCACACUGGGACUGAGACACGGCCCAGACUCCUACGGGAGGCA